GCCGUCACCACGCCUACCCUUUGAAAGACACACAGUAGGCACAAUAGUUUCCAAACUAACAAGUCAGGUCAAGGUGUAGCUUAUUAGGUGGAGGAAAUGGGCUACAUUUUCUACGAUAGAUCAUCUACGGACUUCGCUCUGAAACCAAAACGAACAAAGGAGGAUUUAGCAGUAAGCCAAACAAGAGAGUUUGACUAAAUACUUAGCCCUGGAACAUGUACACACCGCCCGUCACCCUCCUCAACACUACCCCAACCUAUUUUUAAUAUAAACAACAUAUACAAAAUGAGGCAAGUCGUAACAUGG
Molecule: ribosomal RNA, 306 nt
Filed under: Tupinambis teguixin (common tegu)
Lineage: Eukaryota; Metazoa; Chordata; Lepidosauria; Squamata; Teiidae
Description: partial 12S ribosomal RNA
Source: RNAcentral